RNAcentral lists this ribosomal RNA (352 nucleotides) under uncultured bacterium. RNAcentral describes it as "bacterial SSU rRNA". It matches the Rfam family "Bacterial small subunit ribosomal RNA", at positions 46 to 384 of the family's 1533-position model. The record is from RNAcentral.
GGAUUAGGCAUGCAAGUCGAACGAGGAUAUAUCCUUCGGGAUAUAAGCCGAGUGGCGCAAGGGUGAGUAAUGCAUAGAUUACCUACCUCUAGGAUAAGGACAACUUUGUGAAAACGAAGCUAAUACUUAAUAACACAAGAGAAAAUAAUUUUCUUUUGUCAAUGGGAGGGUAGCAAUACCUUUUGCCUAGAGAGGGGUUUAUGUCCUAUCAGCUUGUUGGUGGGGUAAUGGCCUACCAAGGCGAAGACGGGUAGCCGGUCUUAGAGGAUGGUCGGCCACACUGGGACUGAGACACUGCCCAGACUUCUACGGAAGGCUGCAGUCGAGAAUCUUUCGCAAUGCCCGAAAGGAA